RNAcentral lists this ribosomal RNA (814 nucleotides) under uncultured bacterium. Its description in RNAcentral is "bacterial SSU rRNA". It matches the Rfam family "Bacterial small subunit ribosomal RNA", at positions 8 to 796 of the family's 1533-position model. The record is from RNAcentral.
AGAGUUUGAUCCUGGCUCAGAACGAACGCUGGCGGCGUGGAUUAGGCAUGCAAGUCGAACGCGAAAGAGGGGGCAACUCCUCGAGUAGAGUGGCGAACGGGUGAGUAACGCGUGAAGAACCUGCCUUCAACAGGGGGAUAACACUCCCAACGGGGUGCUAAUACCGCAUGAGACCACGGAUCCGCAUGGAUCUGAGGUCAAAGGUGGCCUCUGCUUGCAAGCUACCGGUUGAAGAUGGCUUCGCGUCCCAUUAGCUAGUUGGCGGUGUAAAAGACCACCAAGGCGACGAUGGGUAGCUGGUCUGAGAGGAUGGUCAGCCACACUGGGACUGAGAUACGGCCCAGACUCCUACGGGAGGCAGCAGUCGAGAGGCUUUGGCAAUGGGGGAAACCCUGACCAAGCGACGCCGCGUGGAGGAUGAAGGCCCUUGGGUUGUAAACUCCUUUUGUUGGGGAAGAACUGCGAUCAGGUGAACAAUCUGGUCGUUUGACGGUACCCGACGAAUAAGCUCCGGCUAACUCCGUGCCAGCAGCCGCGGUAACACGGGGGGAGCAAGCGUUGUUCGGAAUCACUGGGCGUAAAGGGCGUGUAGGCGGUCAAGUAAGUGGAAUGUGAAAUCCCUCGGCUUACCCGAGGACCUGCAUCCCAAACUGCUUGGCUCGAGUAUGGGAGAGGAUGAGGGAAUUCCUGGUGUAGCGGUGAAAUGCGUAGAUAUCAGGAGGAACACCGGUGGCGAAAGCGCUCAUCUGGCCCAAUACUGACGCUGAGGCGCGAAAGCUAGGGGAGCAAACGGGAUUAGAUACCCCAGUAGUCC